CCUACGGGCGGCAGCAGUGGGGAAUAUUGGACAAUGGGGGCAACCCUGAUCCAGCCAUGCCGCGUGUGUGAAGAAGGCCCUCGGGUUGUAAAGCACUUUCAGUGAGGAAGAACGCCUGGUGGUUAAUACCCAUCAGGAAAGACAUCACUCACAGAAGAAGCACCGGCUAACUCCGUGCCAGCAGCCGCGGUAAUACGGAGGGUGCGAGCGUUAAUCGGAAUUACUGGGCGUAAAGCGCGCGUAGGUGGCUUGAUAAGCCGGUUGUGAAAGCCCCGGGCUCAACCUGGGAACGGCAUCCGGAACUGUCAAGCUAGAGUGCAGGAGAGGAAGGUAGAAUUCCCGGUGUAGCGGUGAAAUGCGUAGAGAUCGGGAGGAAUACCAGUGGCGAAGGCGGCCUUCUGGACUGACACUGACACUGAGGUGCGAAAGCGUGGGUAGCAAACAGGAUCAGAUACCCCAGUAGUC
This 465-nucleotide ribosomal RNA is filed under the name Vreelandella stevensii. Its description in RNAcentral is "partial 16S ribosomal RNA". It matches the Rfam family "Bacterial small subunit ribosomal RNA", at positions 338 to 795 of the family's 1533-position model. Lineage: Bacteria; Pseudomonadati; Pseudomonadota; Gammaproteobacteria; Oceanospirillales; Halomonadaceae. The record is from RNAcentral.